AGGAUUAACGCUGGCGGCGUGCCUAACACAUGCAAGUCGAACGAGGUAGCAAUACCUAGUGGCAGACGGGUGAGUAACGCGUGGUCAACCUACCGUUGAGUGGGGGAUAACUAGCCGAAAGGUUAGCUAAUACCGCAUACGUCUCCGAGGGGCAUCCCUUGGCGAUAAAAGGAGCAAUCCGCUCGAUGACGGGACCGCGUCCCAUUAGCUAGAUGGUGGGGUAACGGCCUACCAUGGCACCGAUGGGUAGCUGGUUUGAGAGAGCGACCAGCCACACUGGGACUGAGAAACGGCCCAGACUCCUACGGGAGGCAGCAGUGAGGAUUUUCCGCAAUGGGCGCAAGCCUGACGGAGCGACGCCGCGUGUGGGAAGAAGGCCUUCGGGUCGUAAACCACUGUCGAAGGGGACGAUAAUGACGGUACCCUUGGAGGAAGCCCCGGCUAACUACGCGCCAGCAGCCGC
This 463-nucleotide ribosomal RNA is filed under the name uncultured bacterium. RNAcentral describes it as "SSU rRNA". It matches the Rfam family "Bacterial small subunit ribosomal RNA", at positions 26 to 518 of the family's 1533-position model. The record is from RNAcentral.